Molecule: unclassified non-coding RNA, 1777 nt
Filed under: Leishmania donovani
Lineage: Eukaryota; Euglenozoa; Kinetoplastea; Trypanosomatida; Trypanosomatidae
Description: gene:LdHU3.29.1340(CDS-product:Eukaryotic_protein _of_unknown_function_(DUF914)_putative)
Source: RNAcentral
UAGCUGAGAAUUCGAGUCCAGGGAACCCUCACUGCACAUUCUGAAAAAGAAAAAUGGCGGCCCUCGCGAGCUGCGGGUUCGGGACGGUAAGAGAGUUGCUCAAGCGAAUAGUGCUAGGUCAGGCUCUUGCAUUCCUCAACUCCCUCACCGGCGUCUCUACCACGAAGCUCGUUAACAGCAACGCAAGCUAUCCUGUGCUUCAGUCUAUCACAGCAUACGCAUUUAUUUUCGCGUUCUAUCUUCCAGCUUUUCUCUUUAUAAUGUACAAGCACCGCGCUCAAAGAUUUUCAAACUUUAGGUUUUUAAAUCGUUGGUGGAAGUACGCCAUCUUGGCUGUAAUUGACCUUGAGGCCAACUACGUCGUAGUACUUGCCUAUCAGUACACGAACAUGAUUUCCGUUCAGCUGCUCAACUGCUUUACGGUACCAUGCGUUAUGGUUAUGAGCUUUUUUGUGUUGCGAAUGAAAUUUGCCGUCACUCACGUUGUUGGUGGGGUGAUCGCGAUCGGCGGACUGGUGUUUCUAAUCGCGCUUGACGCUGAUGGACUUUCUCGCAGCGAGCGCGGGAGUCAGGAAGUUCUCGGGGACAUCUUGUGCUUGAUUUCAAGCUCUUUGUAUGCGACAAGCAACGUGUUGACAGAAUGGUUCGUGAAACCAUCAAAACCAGCCUUCAUCUUCAACUGCUGCGGUGGAAACGGGAGUGGUGAAGCAAAGGAUGAAGUCACACAGGCAUCACCCUCGACCGACAUUCAGGAGCCCUCUAGCAUAUUUCCAGAGGAAGGGGAGAUAUACGCGGCAGAGGAUCACACGAAAGUCCCCGUUUUCAUUCCGGUUGUCGAGAACCUGGCAAUGAUGUCGUCGUUCGCCUUGCUUUUCUCAACGAUACAAUUCUUUGCAGUGGAGUGGAAAAUGUUCAAGCCCAAUCGCAGCUCCUGGACAGGACAAGACUGGCUGUUUCAGAUGGUGUUUGGUGUCACAAUGUUGCUGGUUUACACCGCCAUGCCGAUAAUCUUCAUCAUUUCUAGCGCGGCUUUCGCCAAUAUAUCCUUGCUGACUGCUAACAUCUACGCCAUUAUCUGGAAUGUCACCAUUUUCAAGAUAUAUCCCACUAAACUGUUUUUUGUUUCGUAUGUCAUUAUUGCCGUCGGCAUCUUGUUGUACAAUCUGACGGACAUUGUAAGAAUCCCGUUCUGCGCCCGCUGGAAUUACCCUUGUGGUGAUCCGUUCAAGGAAAAUGGAAACGAGACGGAAACAGAUGCAGAAGAACAGGUGCAUGAAGCAGCCGAAGGGCUUCCCCAGCGCGAAGCAGGGAGCCCCUCGAAAGAGUCUGGUGGUGGAAAGCAGGGUGACGCCACGGCAAAAUCGACAUGCGGUGUCAGUACCCAACUACAUGAGCAGCAACGCGAGCAUUGAAUUUCCUUUUUUCGUACUGCUUAAUCUUAGCAGCAGAGUUCGCAGUAAGGCAUCGUACUAAGAACACUGAUGAGGGAAAAAAGUUAGUAAGGGCAUUGGCAUAUUGUGCGACAGCUACUGAGUGUGUGCGGAGCGGGAGGAAAAGCACCUCUCUCGCUUGCGUUUCGAAAGGAGAAUUCACCAGCGGGAACAUGCGUGACGAGGGGAGGGCAUAGCACCUAGAACCUAGUAUUUGAAUGCACUUCUUUUCUUGUCAUCCCCGUAACUCUCAAUCGAUGUCUUCCGUCUUUUUUUUCUACUAGCAUCUGUUUCCAACCAUUUUCCAUCUUUUCGCCUUGCCGGUGCUGAUUUUACGAUGCGGACAG